RNAcentral lists this non-coding RNA (31 nucleotides) under Homo sapiens (human). Lineage: Eukaryota; Metazoa; Chordata; Mammalia; Primates; Hominidae. The record is from RNAcentral.
UUGGCCCAUAGACCAGGAGGCCUGGGACUGC